Punica granatum (pomegranate) is the source of this 267-nucleotide non-coding RNA. NCBI's taxonomy places the organism in Eukaryota, Viridiplantae, Streptophyta, Magnoliopsida, Myrtales, Lythraceae. The record is from Rfam.
AGGGUUCUAAGGGGGCUCUCUCUCGCUCCAACAUUGAGGGGAGAUGAACGGUAGACACAGCUGCUAGUUCAUGGAUACCCUUAUCCAGGUUAAGGAUGGAUACACAUGUAUCAUCGAGAUCAAGCGGGAUUGUUAAUUGAGUUAGUCAUGGUUACGAUAAUGUAUCCCAAUUUCCGGGCACUGGAAUAAGGGUUUGCAUGAGCUAGGAGAUGAGGUUACCUUGAUCCUUUUGGUAUUGGAGUGAAGGGAGCUCCUCAACUCUCUUCU